CAGCAGUAGGGAAUCUUCCACAAUGGGCGCAAGCCUGAUGGAGCAACACCGCGUGAGUGAAGAAGGGUUUCGGCUCGUAAAGCUCUGUUGUUAAAGAAGAACACGUAUGAGAGUAACUGUUCAUACGUUGACGGUAUUUAACCAGAAAGUCGCGGCUAACUACGUGCCAGCAGCCGCGGUAAUACGUAGGUGGCAAGCGUUAUCCGGAUUUAUUGGGCGUAAAGAGAGUGCAGGCGGUUUUCUAAGUCUGAUGUGAAAGCCUUCGGCUUAACCGGAGAAGUGCAUCGGAAACUGGAUAACUUGAGUGCAGAAGAGGGUAGUGGAACUCCAUGUGUAGCGGUGGAAUGCGUAGAUAUAUGGAAGAACACCAGUGGCGAAGGCGGCUACCUGGUCUGCAACUGACGCUGAGACUCGAAAGCAUGGGUAGCGAACAGGAUUAGAUACCCUGGUAG
This 452-nucleotide ribosomal RNA is filed under the name uncultured bacterium. RNAcentral describes it as "bacterial SSU rRNA". It matches the Rfam family "Bacterial small subunit ribosomal RNA", at positions 349 to 793 of the family's 1533-position model. The record is from RNAcentral.